This 202-nucleotide unclassified non-coding RNA is filed under the name Hevea brasiliensis (rubber tree). Lineage: Eukaryota; Viridiplantae; Streptophyta; Magnoliopsida; Malpighiales; Euphorbiaceae. The record is from RNAcentral.
AGAACAUUUGGUUUUGCGUGUUGACCAUCUUAUCACACCCGAAUCAUUGCACUCUCUGCCACGGCCCGAGCAUACAGAAUUAUCUGGGGGCACAUCUGUCACUCAGACAGUUGGUACAUCCUCAGGUAUUGAUGCUCAAGAGAACGAAUAUCAAAGAGCUGGAGAUGAAGAAGAGCCAUUACUUCAGACUGUGGAAUGUCGG